GACGAACGCUGGCGGCGUGCUUAACACAUGCAAGUCGAACGGAAAGGCCCUGCUUGCAGGGUACUCGAGUGGCGAACGGGUGAGUAACACGUGGGUGAUCUGCCCUGCACUUCGGGAUAAGCCUGGGAAACUGGGUCUAAUACCGGAUAGGAGCCAUUUUUAGUGUGAUGGUUGGAAAGUUUUUUCGGUGUAGGAUGAGCUCGCGGCCUAUCAGCUUGUUGGUGGGGUAAUGGCCUACCAAGGCGGCGACGGGUAGCCGGCCUGAGAGGGUGGACGGCCACAUUUGGACUGAGAUACGGCCCAGACUCCUACGGGAGGCAGCAGUGGGGAAUAUUGCACAAUGGGCGCAAGCCUGAUGCAGCGACGCCGCGUGGGGGAUGACGGCCUUCGGGUUGGAAACUCCUUUCGCUAGGGACGAAGCUUUUUGUGACGGUACCUAGAUAAGAAGCACCGGCUAACUACGUG
RNAcentral lists this ribosomal RNA (465 nucleotides) under uncultured bacterium. RNAcentral describes it as "partial 16S ribosomal RNA". It matches the Rfam family "Bacterial small subunit ribosomal RNA", at positions 28 to 507 of the family's 1533-position model. The record is from RNAcentral.